Molecule: ribosomal RNA, 131 nt
Filed under: Anomotaenia sp. 1 JB-2022
Lineage: Eukaryota; Metazoa; Platyhelminthes; Cestoda; Cyclophyllidea; Dilepididae
Description: partial large subunit ribosomal RNA
Source: RNAcentral
AAAGUUGAAAAGUACUCUGAAGAGAGAGUAAACAGUACGUGAAGCCGCAUGCAGGUAAACGGGUGGCGUCAAGCUGCGAGCUCGGAGAAUUCAGCUGACUGGGAUGUAGUGAACGUGCCUGGUGCGUCCAG